UACGUAGGGGGCGAGCGUUGUCCGGAUUUAUUGGGCGUAAAGAGCGUGUAGGCGGCUUGGUAGGUCUCGCGUCAAAACCUGAGGCUCAACCUCAGUUCGCGUGGGAAACCACCUAGCUAGAGUCCGGAAGAGGAGAACGGAAUUCCCAGUGUAGCGGUGAAAUGCGCAGAUAUUGGGAAGAACACCAGUGGCGAAGGCGGUUCUCUGGGACGGUACUGACGCUGAGGUGCGAAAGCGUGGGGAGCAAACAGG
RNAcentral lists this ribosomal RNA (252 nucleotides) under uncultured bacterium. RNAcentral's name for it is "partial 16S ribosomal RNA". It matches the Rfam family "Bacterial small subunit ribosomal RNA", at positions 524 to 776 of the family's 1533-position model. The record is from RNAcentral.